Molecule: ribosomal RNA, 253 nt
Filed under: uncultured bacterium
Lineage: Bacteria
Description: partial 16S ribosomal RNA
Rfam family: Bacterial small subunit ribosomal RNA
Source: RNAcentral
UACAGAGGUGGCAAGCGUUGUUCGGAAUUACUGGGCGUAAAGGGCGCGUAGGCGGUCUUUUAAGUCUUGUGUGAAAUCCCUCGGCUCAACUGAGGAACUGCACGGGAUACUGGAAGACUUGAGUUCGGGAGAGGGAAGCGGAAUUCCGGGUGUAGCGGUGAAAUGCGUAGAUAUCAGGAGGAACACCGGUGGCGAAAGCGGCUCUCUGGCCCGGUUCUGACGCUGAGGCGCGAAAGCGUGGGGAGCAAACAGG